Molecule: ribosomal RNA, 465 nt
Filed under: Vreelandella stevensii
Lineage: Bacteria; Pseudomonadati; Pseudomonadota; Gammaproteobacteria; Oceanospirillales; Halomonadaceae
Description: partial 16S ribosomal RNA
Rfam family: Bacterial small subunit ribosomal RNA
Source: RNAcentral
CCUACGGGUGGCAGCAGUGGGGAAUAUUGGACAAUGGGCGAAAGCCUGAUCCAGCCAUGCCGCGUGUGUGAAGAAGGCCUUCGGGUUGUAAAGCACUUUCAGUGGGGAAGAAAGCCUUGGGGCUAAUACCCUCGAGGAAGGACAUCACCCACAGAAGAAGCACCGGCUAACUCCGUGCCAGCAGCCGCGGUAAUACGGAGGGUGCGAGCGUUAAUCGGAAUUACUGGGCGUAAAGCGCGCGUAGGCGGUCUGAUAAGCCGGUUGGGAAAGCCCCGGGCUCAACCUGGGAACGGCAUCCGGAACUGUCAGGCUAGAGUGCAGGAGAGGAAGGUAGAAUUCCCGGUGUAGCGGUGAAAUGCGUAGAGAUCGGGAGGAAUACCAGUGGCGAAGGCGGUCUUCUGGACUGACACUGACGCUGAGGUGCGAAAGCGUGGGUAGCAAACAGGAUUAGAUACCCUGGUAGUC